RNAcentral lists this ribosomal RNA (324 nucleotides) under uncultured eukaryote. RNAcentral's name for it is "partial 18S ribosomal RNA". It matches the Rfam family "Eukaryotic small subunit ribosomal RNA", at positions 1470 to 1796 of the family's 1831-position model. The record is from RNAcentral.
CCCUUAGAUGUUCUGGGCUGCACGCGCGCUACACUGAAGCUAUCAACACGUUUUCCCUCCCUGAGAAGGGCGGGUAACCUUUUGAAUCAGCUUCGUGGUAGGGAUCGGGGCUUGCAAUUGUUCCCCGUGAACCAGGAAUUCCUAGUAGACGCGAGUCAUAAGCUCGCAUCGAUUAUGUCCCUGCCCUUUGUACACACCGCCCGUCGCUACUACCGAUUGAACGUUUUAGUGAGGCAUUUGGACCGACGCAUCUCAGUUUAACCGCUGGUUUGUGUUGGAAAGACUUCCAAACUUGAGCGUUUAGAGGAAGUAAAAGUCGUAACA